Molecule: ribosomal RNA, 468 nt
Filed under: uncultured bacterium
Lineage: Bacteria
Description: partial 16S ribosomal RNA
Rfam family: Bacterial small subunit ribosomal RNA
Source: RNAcentral
GACGAACGCUGGCGGCGUGCUUAACACAUGCAAGUCGAACGGAAAGGCCCUGCUUUUGUGGGGUGCUCGAGUGGCGAACGGGUGAGUAACACGUGAGUAACCUGCCCUUGACUUUGGGAUAACUUCAGGAAACUGGGGCUAAUACCGGAUAGGAGCUCCUGCUGCAUGGUGGGGGUUGGAAAGUUUCGGCGGUUGGGGAUGGACUCGCGGCUUAUCAGCUUGUUUGUGGGGUAGUGGCUUACCAAGGCUUUGACGGGUAGCCGGCCUGAGAGGGUGACCGGCCACAUUGGGACUGAGAUACGGACCAGACUCCUACGGGCGGCAGCAGUGGGGAAUAUUGCACAAUGGGCGGAAGCCUGAUGCAGAAACGCCGCGUGCGGGAUGACGGCCUUCGGGUUGUAAACAGCUUUCGAAUGUGACGAAGCGUGCGUGACGGUAAUGGGUAAAGAAGCACCGGCUAACUACGUG